Molecule: ribosomal RNA, 478 nt
Filed under: uncultured bacterium
Lineage: Bacteria
Description: partial 16S ribosomal RNA
Rfam family: Bacterial small subunit ribosomal RNA
Source: RNAcentral
GACGAACGCUGGCGGCGUGCUUAACACAUGCAAGUCGAACGGUAAGGCCCUUCGGGGUACACGAGUGGCGAACGGGUGAGUAACACGUGGGUGAUCUGCCCUGCACUUCGGGAUAAGCCUGGGAAACUGGGUCUAAUACCGGAUAGGACCACUGCCUGCAUGGGUGGUGGUGGAAAGCUUUUGCGGUGUGGGAUGGGCCCGCGGCCUAUCAGCUUGUUGGUGGGGUGAUGGCCUACCAAGGCGACGACGGGUAGCCGGCCUGAGAGGGGGACCGGCCAAACUGUGACUGAGAUACGGCCCAGAGUCCUACGGGAGGCAGCAGUGGGGAAUAUUGCACAAUGGGCGCAAGCCUGAUGCAGCGACGCCGCGUGAGGGAUGACGGCCUUCGGGUUGUAAACCUCUUUCAGCACCGACGAAGCGCAAGUGACGGUAGGUGCAGAAGAAGGACCGGCCAACUACGUGCCAGCAGCCGCCGUAA